Long non-coding RNA from Canis lupus familiaris (dog), 642 nucleotides. RefSeq lists it as uncharacterized. NCBI's taxonomy places the organism in Eukaryota, Metazoa, Chordata, Mammalia, Carnivora, Canidae. The transcript has 7 exons. The record is from RefSeq and is a predicted model, not a curated record.
AGCUCCUUGAGCUUUCUGUUAUUUCCACAAGGGCCCCUCCAUCUAAGGACCCAUCAUGGCACACUGACUCUUACUAGGUCAGACCAUUUAUACUUAUUGCUAUCUUUCUUUAGUCUUCUUCAACCUCAAUAUCACAGAAGCGAUGCUGUAUCUUUCUCGGUGGCUGGAAUACCUGGAAGUAUGGAACUGACUUUUGGCCACAAGAUGGGGAGGAGAGACUGAAGAAGAGGGAGAGAAAGAAUCUUAAGCAGGCUCCACACUCAGUACCAAGUCCAAUGGAGGGCACAAUCCUAUGACCCUGAAAAUCAUGACCUGAGCUGAAAUCCGGUGUGGGAUGUUUAACCAACUGAGCCAUCCCAGCUCAAGGUCACAAGUGGAAAAUAGUAAUUCUUCUCUGAAAGCCUCAUACCCUAUGAAGUUAUCUCAAGAAAAGACAAGUCAAGAUUCUGAUGCUUUUGUGGUGGCUCACUCAACUUUCUUCAAUCUACCUGAUAAUCCUGAAAGAACCCAAUUCAUGUAUAAAGGCCUUUUCUGUUUAGAAGAACUUCAGUACUACACCUAGCCUAAUACAGAGUAGUUGACCUGGAGAAAAUAACUGAGAUCAAGGACUAAGAGAAAAUACUUAAUAAUAAGUCAUUUUUA